AGUGGCUUAACCCCAACUAUGCCGUGGACACCCUCUGAUGGAGUGACUUUGACAUAGUCAAAGAUCAAGGACCUAACCACAAGACAACUAUGAUGCCUCAGGUCAAAGGACUACUUUGCAUUAUGCCAACCAUGAGUUCUCAUGUGACAAUAAUGACUUGUCUUUUGAGUGGAGUGGACUCAUUCUCUAUUGAGCACCUACAUGCUUGUCUUGGUGUCAGUCACACCAAUGACUCGAGACCAGUCGCUCUCCAUAAAAGAAGACAUAACACGUACUGAUCUUAACGGACUGUCAAUGCCCAAUUGGCAAUCCUAUGAUCAGGAACGUUUAGGAUAUGUAUACGGAAGAGAAUGGUCUCAUGAAUCUAACUUCUUUACAUCGCAUUCUCCCAAUUACAUAUUCGUUGGACUUAUCCUUUAAGCGUAUAACAUUUAUAUGAGAUGGCUUCAAACAAUAAUCUUUGCCCUUUAAAUUAAACUAUAUUAGUUUAACAUGUGAAAUGUCCAUAAAGUAUCAUCAUAUGAUUGGUUUUAGGGCACAUUUCCAACAAUCUCCCACUUGCACUAGAGCCAAUCAGCUUGGUCAUCAAUGAUGAUACCUCUUCUAUAGUCAUUUCAAAAAUGGCUGAGUAGUAGGCCUAGACAAUGGAUAUCUAUAUGUUAUCCAUAGAAGCAACCUUGAGAAUAACGACGUCACCAUUAUACAUGAUUCUUAAUCAUGUGGUUUAGUCUCUCAUUUGAGUUCGAAUCUUGAUGAGACCUUAAUUCCCUGGCUUGAGCUAUCGCCCCAUUAGUGUCAUAGUGUUGGUACACUGGAGACACUUUCUGGUUGGAACUGAAUAGAGAGUUCAUAAAUGAACUUUCCCAUCCAAACAACAUUGUUGUAAGCUUCUAUAUGGCAAUAUAUUUUGCAUUCACAAUGGAACACACUAAAGUCAUUACGUUUAAUGUUUCCAUCCAAAUAUCUCUUUAGUCAUAAUAAAAGAAUGUCUGAUUAUCUUUUCAUUCAUAAUGAAGAAACAUCCAAUGAUGGAUUAGAUUCAUAAUCUAAUACAUUUACGCUUCCAUUACGUUACUCUAAUUCUUCCUCGUUCUUUGAGGAAUAUAUCCUUUAGUAUUUCUUAAAUACUUAAGGACUCACUUGACAGUUGCCAUGGUUCUGAUCCUGGGCUUGCAUUUAUAUCGUCUUGUACCGAUCUUGGUACAACUCAUAUCAAUGUUUUUCAUACAAUAUGAAAUACGUAAAUCACCUUUCUGCGUAUGCAUAAAGGAUUCUAUUUAUGCAUUAUGUUUCUUUAGGAGUCAAAAUGGUACGUUCCCUUUGAGAAGAGCACCUUCCUAGUCUCACUAGAGUUGUCCUUCUGAUUGAAGUUUAUCAUCAUAUGAGAAACUUCCUAGCAUCUUUUGUCUAUCAUUAGGGCUUGAUAUAAUCCAAUUAUAUCCUGAAAUCUAUCAUUAUAGAUUUCCAUCCCAUGUUUAUAGACUAUGUCUCCCAUACAUUCUAUCGUUAUAGAAUGUUUAAAGUCAUAACUUUAACGAAGAAGUAUUAUUUUCAUUUCCAAAAUUAAUAUAUCAUAUAUGUACAUAUAUACAUACAUACAUACAUAUAUAUAUAUAUAUAUAUAUAUAUAUAUUCAAAUUUAGGAACAUGAUUAACUCCCACUAAUCUUUUGUAAACCUAGUAAACAAAAGAUUCAUUUACAUCUUUAUGAGAAAUCAAACGAUUUGAUCUUUCUCUCAUAAGAUGCUUAUAGCUCCCACUAGCUUGCUAAGAUUCAUGAUGGAUGGAUCUCUACAACUUACAUGUCUUGUGAUUCAUAGUUUUAGACAUAUAUUAUCAAGACUAUCUUAAUAAUGGUUUCGGAAACCCAUAUUAUGUCCAAACAUUGAAUCACCAUUUAGUUGUAGCUAGCAAUCUUUGAAUUAAUUGAAACCAAGACUAUGUCAAAGAUGGUUUCUUCCAAGUCAACCGUUCUCUUUGAUUGUAGUCACCUUAAGCUACCAAUUAGCUAUGAAGGUUUCAUUAUUUCGGGUCAAAUGGUACUUUACCAUUUUCUUGAGUAUAUGUCGUAUAUACACUCAAUGUAAUCAUAAAGUUCAAACCAUUCAACUGAGAUAGUUUAUAAAUCCUUCUCGACUACCUUGGAGCUUGUGGUGUAGGAACUAGGUUGUUAUAUUUGUUGAUUAUCAUCUUGUCUCUCAAAGAACCCAUUCUUUGAGUUCUAUCUCUCGUUCAUUUGCGCUUAGGCAAAUCAUAUUGUAGGAUUACAAUGAACUACCCAACAAAACAACAUUUGUUAGUUGGUUUAUAGAAGUGAUAUCCAAAGGUUAAUUUAAGGAUAUCCCCAAGAUAAUUCUCAAACAAAUAUUGCUUAUUAGCACACAACCCCAAAUCUUAACACGAUGAAGACUUAUCUUUCUUUCCAACUACAUCCUAUGGAGUCAUGAAAAUUUUGGAAGAUCUUCUAAUUGACAAUCAUAUUGUCUUAGACAAUCAUAUUGUCUUAGACAAUCAUAUUGUCUUAGAAGUAUAUCCUAUAUAUGGGUAAUUGAUAACAUCCAACAAACUAAAUCUUAUUCAAGUUCGUUCUUCUCCUAAUGGAGAAAUCCAUUAUCUUAUGAUGCUACUUUCCUUGAUAUCUUUCAAGGAAACUGUUCCAAAGUGUUACCUUUCCUUGGAACAAAUCUAAGGAGGCAAAUACUUUCGACGUCUUACUCAUCAACUUACAUUCUUGAAUUCUUUGAAACCUUUUGCAAAGUAUUUGGACUUGUGUUUAUUCAAAAUAAAUGAUAGUCCAACCGAGAGCGAUCUCCGAUGAAUGUCAUACAACAUGAGUAGUAUUAUGUUGUGGACAAGUGCGACUAACAUCUAAGUGAAUUAAGCUCAACAACUUUGUGAUUCUUUCUUCCUUUGCAAAAGAAUAUAGAUUCAAACAUUUUGCCUCUUUACAAUUUUAACAAGAAGGCAUUGGAUCCGGAUCUAACGAUCCAAAGCAUCCAUCUAUGACCAACUCGUAAUUUAUGUUUUAGAGGUAUCACAACUCAGUUGGGAUUUGUCACUACCUUGCAACCUUUUGGGUUUCAAGCAUCGUUAUAUUCUAAACAGUUAACACUACCAUAUUAUCUCUACUAUAGAGAUAAUCAAUUAGAUUACAAUAAUCUAAUCAUUCAUUAAUAAAGAACAAUGUUUUGUCAAACAAAACAUUCAUCCAUUUCUCAUACGGAAUUAAGUUUCUUUAUUCAAAUUGGAAUGUAAAGAAAAUCUUUGUUUUUCCAUUUUCUUUGGUAGUUCAUAUGAGGAAGUAAGUACUACCUACUUUCGCAGAGAUCUAUAUUUGAUUCACGUUCCGAAUGUGAAGUACUUUCUCUUCUCUCAUUAAUCUUCUACUUCUUAUUAGCCACACUUUUACAACGAUUGUAAAACAUAGUUACUAAUACGGAAUCAAGCAUUCAAGUAGAAGAACCAACUGUUUUGAACUUUUCAAGAACAAUUUACAACACCUUCGAAAUGUGUGUUCUUGACACUUGCAAGACAUUUCUUGCAAAUACCCUUUCCAAUGUCCAUCCGUUCAUAAAGAAAGUUUGUUCCCUUGGAGUUAUUUCCCCUUCUUCAUUUGACUUCUCCUUUGACUACAAUAGUCAUGGUCCCUAAACUCCCACUAUCUCUCUUGGAACUUAUUUCAAUUGUGUUAUACACAUCAAACGAUUUGGAGAGCGUGUGGUUAUUCUUCACUAUAUAGUUUAUAAUAAACUUAGUGAACCAUUUGGAUAGGGACAUGAAAGUGAAGUCCUUCCCUAGUUUCCGUCUCUAGAAGUGGUUUAACACUUCAACACUCAAUGACUCAAAAUCAUCAUAAGUCCAUGUUGAUGGACUAUUUUUGUCAACCAACCAUUAUGUUCUAAACAUAAUUACAAACUUUCAAGAGUUGUUCAAGGUAACUCUCAUUUCUUCAUACAACAAUUUGUAAGUGAAGAAUCAUGGCACAUAAAGUGGCCAUGCCCUUGUGCUUACUUCUCAAGUUCCUUGUUCAUGUAACAAAGAAACAAGCACUAAUGUUUGCGUUAGCUAAGGGUUGUUCAAAGAAAAUCUUAUUUCUUCAUACAACAAUUUGUAAUUGAAGAAUUAUGACAUUAAAAGUGUUGUCCUCUUUAUGAUAGACUUAUCUAACAUGUUCUUCCAAUGAUACAUUUUCAAUAGGAAGAUUGUGAGGAUGAGACUACUUAGGUACAUAUACAAGCCAUUAUAGACAAUCUAUGGUAUUGUAGUACCAAGUCCGGAAACUAAAGCUUUCGGCUUUUUCUUUGUCAAGUUUUGGAUAGUGUUUGUAAAUAUAUUGGUAAAUAAAAAUAUAACGAAUAUAAAUUGAUUGAUUUUAAGCCAUUUGAUCCGGGUCUUUAAAUCAAAUAGCACCACCCACUAUUUUUGGCAAAUUUCAUAUCCCUCAUCGGAAUUCGAGAGUUUUGGAGGAAACUCUUAGUAGGGUAUGGGAGACUCAUCAUUACCAAGCCCACCUCACAAUGAUAUGAUGUUGGCUAGCAUCAAUAAUAAUGAGAAAGUACGCUUACUCAUUUGCAUCUCUUGCAAGUACCCAUCUUAUUUGGCCUCUAGAGAAUGAAGCCUCACAAUGAUAUGAUGUUGGCUCCAUUGCACUUAGUUAAGUCAUUCCCACCAUGCAAGUUCGAGUAGGGGUUCAAGAACAACCUCACAAUGAUAUGAUGUUGAUCAUUCUCGUUGCCUACCUUCACAACAUCAUGUAUUCAUAUAGAACUCCUCCUGAGUGUAAGCACGCACUUUGUACUCCCCCAUGAUAGGGUGAAAUCGGUGUACGAGUCACAAACAAUUGGAGCCUACCACGGUGGAAGGGGACGAAAGAGUGUUCAAAGCACUCUCACGCUUAUCAACUUAAUAAUGGUUUGGUUGAGGGUUUUUGGUCUCAUCACAUAUAAGCAUGCAUUUUAAUCUUAUUAAAACAAUUUGGUCCUAUUACAACUAUUGGUCCAUGUGAUUGAUUUAGUUGUACAUGAUACUCCCACUAUGCUUGUAAAACGGUUUUUAAAGCAAGAGUAUAUGGUACUACUAACAUAAGGUUUGCAUUCAUUGAUGGACUAUAUAGUUGCCUUAGGGCCUUAGGAUGACUAUGAACCUUUGAUUCGAUCCAACACGAGCCUAGUGUUGAAUCUCGGUCUAGGGAUGGUGAUUGAUUUUAGUUACGCGUUUAAUCACAUUAAGGCGUGUUUUUCCUAUUAGGCAUUGGACCCAACUACUCCAAUUUCAUGCAUAUCAAAUAAAACAAGGAAGGAGUGCUUCAAAGUAAAGAAAAGCUUAUGCUCUUUUACAACAUUUGAUCAAAACAAAUUACUUUAAAGUAAAGAAGAGCUUAUGCUCUUUUAGAACAUUUGAUCAUAUCAAAUUACAACCAAAAUCUAAUCUACACAUUCCCAUGGUUCAAACAAAUUUGAGACGGGCCUUUCACAUAGCUCAAUUAUCGUAGGCUUAGGUUCAUAAUCACCUUUCUUUAAUUAAUUAGCGCUUUAACUAAUUAAACUUGAAUGCAACAUUUUCAUUUGGUUUUUGUUUCCAUAGAAUUGAUUUAAAUAGAGCUAAAUGAAAUGAAAAUCCAAUUCUCAUUUAAAGAUACAAAACUAUUUUGUUCUCAACUAAUUGGGCCGAAAAGCAAUAACCUCAACCAUUGGGCUAUUUUGCAAAACACAAACUUUUGAGGUCCCUUUGUAAAAACACAAAAGUCCACUACUUCACGUAAUUACAACUAGAAACCAAAAAUUUCAACAAAUGCAAAAACUUCAUUAAAGGAGCAAAACAAUUUGUCCUUUAGUGAUUUUGGGCCUUUACGUAAAAACGUAAACUUUCAGGUCAAAGUACAAAUACACAAAAGUAUCAAAACUUUAUGUAAUUGCAUAAAAGCCCCAAAAGUACCCUAUUUAAUAGGGUGGCCUAUUUUGGAUGAGAGAUGGUGUCAUAAAAUUUUUGAAUUUUUCAACAAAAGUGAAAGGUUAUGGGUAGGUUUGAAAAAGUGAUUUCCAUAAAACAUGGUUCCUUGAAACAAGGAAAAUGUGUAAGUGAUUGGUAUGGUGUUGAUUGAAAAACACAAAUCAUGUCAUACCAUUUAUUAUAAUAAAGUCACACCAACCACCAUAAACAAAACUUUAUGAAAAACAUCAAACACUUUGAAUCAAAACACCAAACCUUUUUGUUCUUGGUUAGAACAUAACAAGAACAAUGAAGAACAUCCAUGAAAACCCAUAAGAGCUCCAUGAACAUUUUUCACCCAAAGACACCCCAAAAACUCUCAAACUUAAGGGAAAAAACAUAUUACCAUACUAGGGUACUUAGGGGUUCCUAAUGUCACUUUAAAACACUUUUAACAAGACAAACAUGAACCCAAAAAUCCACCCUUUGGAUUUGGCCGAAUUUCCCCAAAACAUGGCACCAAAUUUUAGCUCCAAAAUUCAUGCUCAUAUGAACUACAUCUACAACAUUUGAGAUGGCAAAUUUUCUAACAAAAUUUACAUUCAAAGAAGCAAGAAUAAAGCUUGUAACAAUUACAACAUUCAAAUCAUAAACUAUGAAAAUACAAAACCCAAAAGGAUUCACCAACUACUAGACCUAGGCUCUUGAUACCACUUGAAGGAAAUUUUGUGAAAAACAUGUUCAUUUGAGCAACAUCUAUGGCAUGCAAUUAACAAUUAAAGGCGGAAUCAUGCUUGUAUGCACUCAAAAACAAAACAUUACCCAUGAAAUUCAAAGCCUGGUAGAAGGGUGAACCAAGACUCAACUCAAACAAAGUGAGUUGAGAAACUUUAUACCUUUGUUGAUUCCUCUUUUCAUAAGCAAAGGCUAAUCACCCAAGGAGAGGGCCUUCAUUCUUGCUUCUUAGCUCCAUGGAUUUCUUGGAUGAGGAUGAUUGAAAGGAUUCUCCAAGUUCCCAAAGUUGAGAACCUCUAAGUCUCCACACCAAGGUAUGACUUGAAGAAGAGAUGAGUGACCUAGAGGAAGUAAGAUUGCUAGCUAAAAUCCUCUAGGGUGGCCGGCCUCUUAGAGAGAAAAAUGGAGCUUGUGUUCUCAUCUUUUCUCUAAAAGAAACCCUAAGGAUGAAAUGGCUCUAAAGUUGCCUUUAUACCACCUCACAAUGGAGUGGCAAACUUGCAAUUAAGCCAAGUUCACUACCCCUCUCUAUAUGGCAGGUUUUCCCAAGCCUUUGGGCUGUUUUGGGCUUCUCAAAUUUUGUUUGUUAAGUUGUCAUACAACUUAAGCUAAUGGGCUUGACAAUUCGAAGCCCAAUUUGGGCUUUAAGGCCCAAAACUAACUCAAGGUUUAAAACGAACUUAUUCAUUUGAUUAAUUAACAUAUUAAUUAAUUCUUUCCAUAAACAAUUAAACCAUUUAAUUGUCCUUACUCAUCUCCAUUGUUUCUUCAAUCUCUACCUUACACGGUGUACGAUCCAUUAGGUUCCUUUUAGCGAGGUAGUGGGCGAUUAGAACUCUUUCAAAUUGAUUGUGAAUUGAAACUUACUUUCAAUUCUCCCUUUAGUGAUUAUACACAUUUAGGGCUCCACAAACCAUGAGUGACACCUAGCAGUAUGUCAUGGUUACCCAAGCUAAUCAGAAGAGGUGGAUAACCUAUUCAGUUUAGGAUUACAAUGCAAUACGGUCUUUCUCUAAUACAAUACUCUUGACCACAUUGUUUGGUUUGAUAGUUUAUUCAUGUCUACUAUCCAAUGUGAUUCUCUUACUUAUAUGAUUACCUUGAAUGUGAUUUGGAACGACUUCCUAAAUCUUAUUCAUACUCUGGCCAGAGAUUCUUAAUCAUAUCAUAGAGUAUUCUCCCUCAAACAGUUUGAAGGUUAGAGAUCCCUUGUUGCGCAUUCACUUGCCUCCAUGGCUAAGUUGCUUAACCCCAACUAUGCCGUGGACACCCUCUGACGGAGUGACUUUGACAUAGUCAAAGAUCAAAGACCUAACCACAAGACAAUUAUGAUGCCUCAGGUCAAAGGACUACUUUGCAUUAUCCCAACCAUGAGUUCUCAUGUGACAUGAGUAUGAGAACUCUGAUAGGAGCAUUUUUAUGCGACUUAAUUGGCUUGUUCUCAUGCAUUUAUGUUAUUUUUCCUUAGUUAGUUUA
Molecule: long non-coding RNA, 8139 nt
Filed under: Malus domestica (apple)
Lineage: Eukaryota; Viridiplantae; Streptophyta; Magnoliopsida; Rosales; Rosaceae
Description: long non-coding RNA (MDOM_LNC012806)
Source: RNAcentral